RNAcentral lists this ribosomal RNA (913 nucleotides) under uncultured bacterium. RNAcentral describes it as "bacterial SSU rRNA". It matches the Rfam family "Bacterial small subunit ribosomal RNA", at positions 10 to 914 of the family's 1533-position model. The record is from RNAcentral.
AGUUUGAUCCUGGCUCAGGAUGAACGCUAGCUACAGGCUUAACACAUGCAAGUCGAGGGGCAGCGGGAUUGAAGCUUGCUUCAAUUGCCGGCGACCGGCGCACGGGUGAGUAACGCGUAUCCAACCUUCCGUACACUCAGGGAUAGCCUUUCGAAAGAAAGAUUAAUACCUGAUGGUAUGAUGAGAUUGCAUGAUAGCAUCACUAAAGAUUUAUCGGUGUACGAUGGGGAUGCGUUCCAUUAGGUAGUAGGCGGGGUAACGGCCCACCUAGCCAACGAUGGAUAGGGGUUCUGAGAGGAAGGUCCCCCACAUUGGAACUGAGACACGGUCCCAAACUCCUACGGGAGGCAGCAGUGAGGAAUAUUGGUCAAUGGACGAGAGUCUGAACCAGCCAAGUAGCGUGAAGGAUGAAGGUCCUACGGAUUGUAAACUUCUUUUAUAAGGGAAUAAACCCUCCCACGUGUGGGAGCUUGUAUGUACCUUAUGAAUAAGCAUCGGCUAACUCCGUGCCAGCAGCCGCGGUAAUACGGAGGAUGCGAGCGUUAUCCGGAUUUAUUGGGUUUAAAGGGAGCGCAGACGGGUCGUUAAGUCAGCUGUGAAAGUUUGGGGCUCAACCUUAAAAUUGCAGUUGAUACUGGCGUCCUUGAGUGCGGUUGAGGUGUGCGGAAUUCGUGGUGUAGCGGUGAAAUGCUUAGAUAUCACGAAGAACUCCGAUUGCGAAGGCAGCACACUAAUCCGUAACUGACGUUCAUGCUCGAAAGUGUGGGUAUCAAACAGGAUUAGAUACCCUGGUAGUCCACACGGUAAACGAUGGAUACUCGCUGUUGGCGAUAUACUGCCAGCGGCUUAGCGAAAGCGUUAAGUAUCCCACCUGGGGAGUACGCCGGCAACGGUGAAACUCAAAUGAAUUGAC